RNAcentral lists this ribosomal RNA (373 nucleotides) under uncultured bacterium. RNAcentral describes it as "bacterial SSU rRNA". It matches the Rfam family "Bacterial small subunit ribosomal RNA", at positions 28 to 394 of the family's 1533-position model. The record is from RNAcentral.
GAUGAACGCUGGCGGCGUGCCUAACACAUGCAAGUCGAACGGACUUUUAAUGAAGCCUAGCGAUUUAAAAGUUAGUGGCGGACGGGUGAGUAACGCGUGGGUAACCUGCCUCACACUGGGGGAUAACACUUAGAAAUAGGUGCUAAUACCGCAUAAGCGCACGAAGUCGCAUGACUUAGUGUGAAAAACUCCGGUGGUGUGAGAUGGACCCGCGUCUGAUUAGCUAGUUGGUGGGGUAACGGCCUACCAAGGCGACGAUCAGUAGCCGGCCUGAGAGGGUGAACGGCCACAUUGGGACUGAGACACGGCCCAAACUCCUACGGGAGGCAGCAGUGGGGAAUAUUGCACAAUGGGGGAAACCCUGAUGCAGCGA